This is a long non-coding RNA of Polypterus senegalus (gray bichir), 297 nucleotides long. RefSeq lists it as uncharacterized. Lineage: Eukaryota; Metazoa; Chordata; Cladistia; Polypteriformes; Polypteridae. The transcript is spliced from 3 exons. The record is from RefSeq and is a predicted model, not a curated record.
GGAGACCCCACACUAUGCGACUCUUCAGCUCCACUCGGGGGGUGUCACAACCUAUCCCAGCAGCAGUAGAUGAAAGCGCAGGAGCCAAUCUGGGAAGGAACACACUUGUUUUGGGGAAUUUGGGAGAAAAACCCGGCGAGAACAUGCAAAAGCCACACAGUCUACCAGGUGUGGGAUUUGAACCCAGGGCACUGGAUCUGUGAGACAGCUGUAAAUAAUAACCACUGAGCCCAACAACAGUUCACCAAAACAUUAAAUUUUCUGGGGUGGCGAUCUGUGCCACUACCACCUAAUCAA